This 271-nucleotide ribosomal RNA is filed under the name uncultured bacterium. Its description in RNAcentral is "partial 16S ribosomal RNA". It matches the Rfam family "Bacterial small subunit ribosomal RNA", at positions 524 to 794 of the family's 1533-position model. The record is from RNAcentral.
UACGUAGGGGCAAGCGUUGUCCGGAAUCAUUGGGCGUAAAGAGCGUGUAGGCGGUCCGGUAAGUCCGUUGUGAAAGUCAGGGGCUCAACCCUUGAAUGCCGGCGGAUACUGCCGGGCUAGAGUCCGGAAGAGGCGAGUAGAAUUCCCGGUGUAGCGGUGAAAUGCGCAGAUAUCGGGAGGAACACCGAUGGCGAAGGCAGCUCGCUGGGACGGUACUGACGCUGAGACGCGAAAGCGUGGGGAGCAAACAGGAUUAGAAACCCCCAGUAGU